GUGCCAGCCGCCGCGGUAAGACGAACCGUGCGAACGUUGUUCGGAAUCACUGGGCUUAAAGGGCGCGUAGGCGGGUGACCAAGUCAGGGGUGAAAUCUUUCGGCUUAACCGGAAAACAGCCCCUGAUACUGGCCAUCUUGAGGGAGGUAGGGGCAUGUGGAACUUCUGGUGGAGCGGUGAAAUGCGUAGAUAUCAGAAGGAACGCCGGUGGCGAAAGCGACGUGCUGGACCUCAUCUGACGCUGAGGCGCGAAAGCUAGGGGAGCGAACGGGAUUAGAUACCCCGGUAGUCCUAGCCCUAAACGAUGGGUACUAGGUAGUGGACUUAACAUGGGUUCACUGCCGAAGCAAAAGUGGUAAGUACCCCGCCUGGGGAGUAUGGUCGCAAGGCUGAA
This 394-nucleotide ribosomal RNA is filed under the name uncultured bacterium. RNAcentral describes it as "bacterial SSU rRNA". It matches the Rfam family "Bacterial small subunit ribosomal RNA", at positions 505 to 898 of the family's 1533-position model. The record is from RNAcentral.